UACGGGGGGAGCAAGCGUUGUUCGGAUUUACUGGGCGUAAAGGGCGCGUAGGCGGUCUGUUAAGUCGGAUGUGAAAACUCUGGGCUCAACCCAGAGCCUGCAUCCGAAACUGGCAGGCUAGAGUUCUGGAGGGGGUAGCGGAAUUCCUGGUGUAGCGGUGAAAUGCGUAGAUAUCAGGAGGAACACCGGUGGCGAGGGCGGCUACCUGGACAGAAACUGACGCUGAGGCGCGAAAGCUAGGGGAGCAAACAGG
This 253-nucleotide ribosomal RNA is filed under the name uncultured bacterium. RNAcentral's name for it is "partial 16S ribosomal RNA". It matches the Rfam family "Bacterial small subunit ribosomal RNA", at positions 524 to 776 of the family's 1533-position model. The record is from RNAcentral.